AACGUCCUUAUCGAGGGUAGUAUUGAUGUGAUCAAUGAACGUUUAGUGAGGUCCGUCGUGCUAACACCCUUACUUACAGCAUCUAAACCUACUCGAGAAAUUGGGUAGGUAAUUUUUGGAAAC
RNAcentral lists this non-coding RNA (123 nucleotides) under Clytia hemisphaerica. RNAcentral describes it as "U4atac minor spliceosomal RNA". It matches the Rfam family "U4atac minor spliceosomal RNA". Rfam says of the family: U4atac is an essential component of the minor U12-type spliceosome complex which is required for removal of the rarer class of eukaryotic introns (AT-AC, U12-type). These interacting stem loops have been shown to be required for in vivo splicing. The record is from Rfam by way of RNAcentral. Lineage: Eukaryota; Metazoa; Cnidaria; Hydrozoa; Leptothecata; Clytiidae.